UGUUUCUCGCUCUCGCUUGAACGGUACGGACGUGUGCUGCCGCUGCGCGUGUGUGUAUUUAACUUGGCUUGAGAAUAAAUACUUAAUUAUACAAUACAUAUGUAUUUUGUUCUGAAAAAUGCAACAAAUUGCAUUCAUAACACAAGUGCAGUGAGUUUGACACACAUGCAGUACGUGCGGAAUGGCAGGCAAAUGCUUUAUUAAGCAUAAUACAUAAGUUCAAUUACCAAGAAGAAGAGCAAUAAGAGGCUGCGUCGUCUGUUGUUCAAUAAGUGCACGAAAAGCAAGAAGAAGAAGAAUAAGCGAUUGCCGCCGUUGUCGUCGCCGUGUGUACGUGAGUGCGUGUCCGUGUGUUUGUGUAUGCAUGAUAAGUGCUUGUGUGAGUGCGUGUAUGAAUACAAAAAAGUAGUAGCAGCUGAAAAGUGUAAUAAUAUCAGCAAAGAAA
Molecule: long non-coding RNA, 445 nt
Organism: Drosophila innubila
Lineage: Eukaryota; Metazoa; Arthropoda; Insecta; Diptera; Drosophilidae
Exons: 2
Source: RefSeq, a predicted model, not a curated record